AUUGCAAAUAUGCCCUCCAGAAUUUUUUUUUUGAGUGGCAAUUUGAGAGACUUCUAAAUGCUCACUUACCAUUGGAAUUCAUCUGUUUCUUCUUUAUAUUGUUUCUAAUAAAUAUUGUCCAAUACACACCAGUUCCAAUAUAUAUUGUUUCAUGUAUAUACAUUUCCAAUACACAUUAUUUCCAAUAUAUAUUGUUUCUUAUAUAUAUUAUUUCCAAAUGAAUACACAAACAAAAUACAAAACUCUCAUUUCUAAAUGAACUACAGGGACUUGAUUAUGGCAUUAUUCAAUGACUUGAGUAAUUCCUCUCUCAAAGCUACCACCUCAAAGCCACCACCUCCACCUCAAAGUGAUUUCUCUUUUAGCUGAGGUUCCAGAUCACUUAAUUUUUUUCCUCAGGUAUGUUUUGGUAGAAUCAUAGCAAAUGAUUCUACAUCUCAACUUCCUUGUGAACAGCUUGAAAAGAGUUCACAUUUUAUUCAUCUCCGAGAUAUUAAUUGCAAAUGAUUUUCACAAUAUUUCUUUUUGAAACUCAACAACAUGUUCAAAGUUGUUGCGCAUUGAGAUGAAACCUAGGCUUAUGGGUUCUUUUUGCUUAAAUAAGGUCAGGAAAAACAGAUCUAUGACCAAAGGACUCUUUGGAUAGAUCUAUUUUUAGUUAAUCAUUAACAUCAUAAUUGCUCCCUCUCUCAUCAGCUAUUGCCUCAUGCACAAAUGCAGAGAAAUUUCUGGACAACUGCCUUUGUUUUAACUGAGUAAGGAAAAAGGGAAAAACAAAACGCAAAACAAAGGGGAGAGAUUGCCAGAGCCCUGCUAAAGUCCAGGCCCUGGCAAGCUACGGAUGUGCUGAUCACACAAAACCUCUUAAGCUGCCUACAAAGGCCUCCAAGGUGAGUCAGCUGAAAGGGACUAAUCUCCAGAAAGGACUGAUCACUGAAGCUUUACAGACCACACAGCUAUUGAACAGUAGAAAACAGGACAAUGAAAGCUUAAAGUGAUGUGCACAGAAAGGUCACAGAAUCGACAGGACAUGGUGGCCAGCCCAGGCUGGAGUUCCAACAGUAAUUUUUGAUGCACCUGAGAACCAGCAGCUCCACUGACAACUAUGACGAUGAAAACCAUACACUCAGUUGCUAAAACAGAAAGUCUGAGAACUUCCAUAGCAGUCGGGCCAAGAUGGGCCAACUAUGAGGUGCUGAAAACCGCUGGGUGACCAUUUGAGUGGACUUCACAGUCUGGAGGGGGAUGUACAGAACAUGAAAGCAAGUAUAUGUGAAAGCUAUGUGAGGAUACAGUGAAAAUUGGCAGUCUACAAUUCAGAAGAAGGACCUCUCCAAACCUAGACCAAGUUGGCACCCUGAUCUCAGACUUCCAGCUUCCAGGACUGUGAGGAAUAAGCUCCUGUUAUGCAUGGGUCACCCGAUCUAUGCUACUUUGAAUAGCAGCCCAACCAAAAUGGCAUCCUGUCACUUUUGCUGUGAUCUGAAACUAUCACUGCAAGCUGUUGUGGAUACCCCAGUGAGCAGGCCAAGAUGAGCCACUUAGGUCUGACUCUAAUUGCAGUGUUAUGAUUUAUAUCUGGAUGACCUCCAAAGCCUCGUGGGCUCAUAGGCAGGGCUUUGGGGAAGUGAUUGGAUCAUGUUGGCACUAUACUCACUGGUGGAUUAAUCCACUGAUGAGUUUAUAGAUAAAUGUGCCACUAGUAGGUGGGGCCUGGUCAGAAGAGGGAGGGCACUGGGGGCAUGACCUGAAGGGUGUGUCUUCCUCCCCGGCUCUCUCCCUCCCUGGCUCCUCCCUUCCUGCUCUUCUUCCCGGCUGCCAUGAGGUGAGCUGCAUUCCUUUCUCACACACCUGUGUCAUGCUGUUCUGCCUUGGAGCCAGCCAACUGGAUUGAAAUGUGAGACAAAAUAAAUCUGACCUCCUUUAAGUUUCAGGUGUCAGAAUUUUGUCCCGGCAACAAGAAAAUGACCAAGGCACAGAGGAAAGCCAUUGGAAGGUUUUAUGCCAUAGGAUGACAAUAUAUGAAUUUCCUUCCAUUUCAACCCCCUCAUGGUACAAAAUGAAAAGUGGCCCAGAGGGGAAGUAACUUUUCAGAUUGGUAGAACCUAGGCAGGUUUAAAGUUGCUUACUGUGCUGUGUCCUACCCAUCGUAUGGUUCUUCUAGCUCUAAAUCUGUGCAUUUGUUUCCUGUGACACCAAUCCAUGGAUUUGUAAGUACCAUCUCAUUUAUACUUGGUGAUAUCCCCAGGAAGCCACUGUUAGUGUGAUCCCCAUUGUGCAGGUUAGGAGACCAGGAAGGCCUUGAGAGGCAAUGGGCUGAUAAGAAAAAAGGAGGCUCCAAAGCAGCUCUGUCUGCUCAAGCCUAGGCCCUGGAUGUAUUUAGGUCUCUCACUGAUGUAUUUAGGUGAAACUGUGUAGGUGGGAGAUGGCACUGAGAGGAGGGUAAGCAGUUGCAGGUCACAGAGGGUCUUGUUGAAGGAAGGGACCUAGGUGACGGGACCUUGAAAACACUAUCUCACUUCCUUGGUGAUAGAUCCCCAAAGAACUUAGAGUUCUGGUAACCAGGCACCCACAUUUCAGAGACAGCUCACCAUGCAGCUUGCUUGGCUAAAGAUCUUCAAGAGAGCAAAAUGUUUUCCUGUUGUGGCCUUAUGUUCUGAGGCUCUAGCCCCACGAACAAGUGAGAACUUUUUCAUGGCUUGCAGAGAUUGGUUUAGCCCACACCCCUAAAGUCUCUGGCCAUUUGGCACAAGGUAUCUGAAGGCAACACAGGACAGCCCUGGGGAGGUUCAUCCAGGCCAGGCCAGAACUGGCCUUCUCCCUGGGCAGCCCCCUCACUCCACCCUCUCUUGUGUGUGUGUGUGUGUGUAGGUGGGAGGGUGGCAAGGGAUGAGGACUGAGUCCUCCUUAGGCAGAGGAGGUUGUGAAACAUUGGAACGCUGGUGGGCUUGUUAUGAUUCAGGUUAUAGCUAGAAGGAUGGAAGGUGAGCGCUGGGUAGAGUGCAUCCCUCUGGAUUUCAGUCGUGAGCCCGCAAACCUUCAUGUCAUUUCUUCUCUCCCUGAAGCCCAUGCAGAUACUCCUCUGUGCCUGAUCUGGGGGGCAGAAUUCCAAAUGGGGUAUUCUCUAGCAAUGGCCAGGCAGACCUCUCACACCUCAUAGCCGAGCUCCAGGAAACUGCCUUUUCAUAGCUCCACUUGGAGGAAGUGAAAAAUGAAAUGUCAGGCAGGCCUUUAGGGAGUUAUUUCUUUGAAGCUCUGGUACCUUUUUUUUUUUAAUUUUUGAUACUGGGGAUUGAACUGAGGACCUUGGACUUGCGAGGCAGCUCUGGCAUCUAUUUUAAGUGACCCAUUCCUAGUACCUGCCUUCUGUGCUGACCAUGUGGACAUCACCUUUCAUGUCUGUUUUCCUCACUGGAAGUGAGUUCCAUG
Molecule: long non-coding RNA, 3429 nt
Organism: Heterocephalus glaber (naked mole-rat)
Lineage: Eukaryota; Metazoa; Chordata; Mammalia; Rodentia; Bathyergidae
Source: RefSeq, a predicted model, not a curated record